Molecule: ribosomal RNA, 440 nt
Filed under: uncultured bacterium
Lineage: Bacteria
Description: partial 16S ribosomal RNA
Rfam family: Bacterial small subunit ribosomal RNA
Source: RNAcentral
CCUACGGGAGACAGCAGUAGGGAAUAUUGCUCAAUGGGGGAAACCCUGAAGCAGCAACGCCGCGUGGGGGAUGAAGGUUUUCGGAUUGGAAACUCCUUUUGUUAGAGAAGAUAAUGACGGUAUCUAACGAAUAAGCACCGGCUAACUCCGAGCCAGCAGCCGCGGUAAUAUGGCAGGUGCAAGCGUUACUCGGAAUCACUGGGCGUAAAGAGCGCGUAGGCGGGAUAGCAAGUCAGAUGUGAAAGCCUAUGGCUUAACCAUAGAACUGCAUUUGAAACUGUUAUUCUAGAGUAUGGGAGAGGUAGGUGGAAUUCGUGGUGUAGGGGUAAAAUCCGUAGAGAUCAAGAGGAAUACUCAUUGCGAAGGCGACCUGCUAGAACAUAACUGACGCUGAUGCGCGAAAGCGUGGGGAGCAAACAGGAUUAGAUACCCCAGGAGUC